Molecule: long non-coding RNA, 1235 nt
Organism: Callithrix jacchus (white-tufted-ear marmoset)
Lineage: Eukaryota; Metazoa; Chordata; Mammalia; Primates; Cebidae
Source: RefSeq, a predicted model, not a curated record
CGAGAGCCGAGGGCAGAGCCUCACGAAGGAAGCUCAACCGACGGCGACCGCCGGUGCCCCCUCAAGCCGCCUCCCGCUGCCUCCCGGGUCGCAGCGACGGCGGCUCCCGGGUUCCGGCUCUUCUAAGCUUCCCCUAGCCAAUGGGGUGUACUGUGCAUUUGGCUCCGCCCCUAGCCUACGAAUUUCUGGCACUGAUUGGUCUCGACGCGAGCAUAUGCGUGACGGGGCAUGAUGUACACCUACUUCAUAUUCGUGGAAUUAAUAGUUAGAGUAAUCGUGGAACCAUAAGGAAUGAUUACUGAAGAAAUGCUAUACAUCCUACAAAUAAAAGAAAGUUUCACAAAGACAUGAAAGGAAAAAAAUGUGGAGGUGAGUAGGCCACAGUAACAUUAUUUUAUGGGUUCUAAGUGCUCUGCUUUACUUCCAGCCUUGGAGAAACAAGUAUCUUUAUGAGCAUGAACUUGCUGGGAAGGAAUGACUGCCAUGCAGUGCUGUGAGCACAUCUGCCCAGGUCCUUAAAGCAGAGCAGGUGGCUGUGCUCCUGUGCUGGGAAGGGCCCUGGCGCUAGACUUCUGAGACCUGGAUCUUUACUCUGACUCAGAGCUCUGCAACUUCCCACAUACACUUCAAUCUCUUUGAAUGCUGUUCUAAAAUGAGGACAGUAUAAUCUCCACCAUUCUUUCCAGCUCUGAACUUCAUCCAGUCAUUUAUUCAGCACAUAUUUAUUGAGCACUCACUGCAUUCCAGACACUGUGCUAAGUACUUGUGGAGGUAUUAAUAAAAACCAAACAAAAUCAAAAUAGGACAUAGUUCUGGAUCUGAAAAUAAAUAUUUCAAUCCUAUUGGGGAUGAGGAAGGUAUAGGAGCAGGACACUGGUAAGGAAGCCUUUGUUUUGAAUCUAUCUUUACAAACAGGUAUAUAUAAUGUGUGUGUGGCGGCUGGGCACAGUGGCUCAGGCCUGGAAUCCCAGCACGUUGAGAAGCCAAGGUGGGCAGAUCACCAGAGGUCAGGAGUUCAAGACCAGCCUGGCAACAUGGUGAAACCCCGUCUCUACUACAAAUACAAAAUUAGCUGGGCAUGGUGUCAUGCGCCUGUAAUCCCAGCUACUCAGGAGGCUGAGGCAGGAGAAUCACUUGAACCAGGGAGGCAAAGGUUGCAGUGAGCCAAUAUCGCACCAUUGCACUCCAGCCUGGGUGAGUGAGCCAGACUGUGUCUCAAAAAAAAAAAGUGUAUG